UGAGUUAUUAUGAAGUAGUUAGAAUAUGUAGUGUAGCGGUGAAAUGCAUAGAUAUUACAUAGAAUACCAAUUGCGAAGGCAGAUUACUAAUAAUCAACUGACACUGAUGGACGAAAGCGUGGGUAGCGAACAGGAUUAGAUACCCUGGUAGUCCACGCCGUAAACGAUGGUUACUAGCUGUUUGGACCUUGUGUCUGAGUGGCUAAGCGAAAGUGAUAAGUAACCCACCUGGGGAGUACGUUCGCAAGAAUGAAACUCAAAGGAAUUGACGGGGGCCCGCACAAGCGGUGGAGCAUGUGGUUUAAUUCGAUGAUACGCGAGGAACCUUACCAGGGCUUAAAUGUAAGUUGCAUUAGUUAGAGAUAGCUAUUUCUUCGGACCACUUACAAGGUGCUGCAUGGUUGUCGUCAGCUCGUGCCGUGAGGUGUCAGGUUAAGUCCUAUAACGAGCGCAACCCCUGUUGUUAGUUGCCAGCGAUUCAAGUCGGGAACUCUAACAAGACUGCCAGUGCAAACUGUGAGGAAGGUGGGGAUGACGUCAAAUCAUCACGGCCCUUACGUCCUGGGCUACACACGCGCUACAAUGGUAGGGACAGAGAGCAGCCACUACGCGAGUAGGAGCGAAUCUAUAAACCCUAUCACAGUUCGGAUCGGAGUCUGCAACUCGACU
RNAcentral lists this ribosomal RNA (669 nucleotides) under uncultured bacterium. RNAcentral describes it as "bacterial SSU rRNA". It matches the Rfam family "Bacterial small subunit ribosomal RNA", at positions 642 to 1317 of the family's 1533-position model. The record is from RNAcentral.